CACAGUGUAGGCUGCAAAUCCUGAUCCCAGGGUCAAACCCUCGGAGCUUUAACCAGGCUGAGCAGUGGGUUUAGCCUGGGAAGGACCUGGUUAGACCUUCAGAGCUGGGCUUUACCUUCAGCUUAAGCUCCCGCACUGCUGAAAGCUCGGAGCAGUGGGUGGCCAGGAUGCCGGGUGUGCUCCACAAAACCAGGUAUCUGAUAUCCCAGCCCCCCAUUUGUUGAACCUUCCUCCAGCCCUCCUGCGGGAUCAAAGCAGCAGCAACAGCUCUGAGUGAUUUGUGUGCUCCCACACGAGUGACCCACUGACCCACACCGACCCCCACACCUCCCCCAGUGAAACAAAGGCUUCCAAAUAAAUCAGUUCAAGUUGGGUGUCUGGUCUGGAUCCCCCUCCCCAGCUGUGUAAGAGCUGACAGCCCUGCAGAGCAGCUCAGGGGCUUCUGGAGCUGCUCAUUUUCGCUCCCGUGGUGCAGAGACAGCAGCUCCUGGGGCUGCAGCUCCUGCCGGGUCUCAGCAUUCCCUGGAGGGCCA
Molecule: long non-coding RNA, 533 nt
Organism: Ficedula albicollis (Collared flycatcher)
Lineage: Eukaryota; Metazoa; Chordata; Aves; Passeriformes; Muscicapidae
Exons: 3
Source: RefSeq, a predicted model, not a curated record